UACGGGAGGCAGCAGUGAGGAAUAUUGGUCAAUGGGCGAGAGCCUGAACCAGCCAAGUAGCGUGAAGGAUGAAGGUCCUACGGAUUGUAAACUUCUUUUAUACGGGAAUAAAGUAUCCUACGUGUAGGAUUUUGUAUGUACCGUAUGAAUAAGCAUCGGCUAACUCCGUGCCAGCAGCCGCGGUAAUACGGAGGAUGCGAGCGUUAUCCGGAUUUAUUGGGUUUAAAGGGAGCGCAGACGGGAGAUUAAGUCAGUUGUGAAAGUUUGCGGCUCAACCGUAAAAUUGCAGUUGAUACUGGUUUCCUUGAGUGCAGUUGAGGCAGGCGGAAUUCGUGGUGUAGCGGUGAAAUGCUUAGAUAUCACGAAGAACCCCGAUUGCGAAGGCAGCUUGCUAAACUGUAACUGACGUUCAUGCUCGAAAGUGUGGGUAUCAAACAGGAUUAGAUACCCUGGUAGUCCACACGGUAAACGAUGGAUACUCGCUGUUGGCGAUAUACUGUCAGCG
This 505-nucleotide ribosomal RNA is filed under the name uncultured bacterium. RNAcentral describes it as "bacterial SSU rRNA". It matches the Rfam family "Bacterial small subunit ribosomal RNA", at positions 340 to 845 of the family's 1533-position model. The record is from RNAcentral.